This 750-nucleotide ribosomal RNA is filed under the name uncultured Peptoniphilus sp. Its description in RNAcentral is "bacterial SSU rRNA". It matches the Rfam family "Bacterial small subunit ribosomal RNA", at positions 28 to 776 of the family's 1533-position model. The record is from RNAcentral. Lineage: Bacteria; Bacillati; Bacillota; Tissierellia; Tissierellales; Peptoniphilaceae.
GACGAACGCUGGCGGCGCGCUUAACACAUGCAAGUCGAGCGAUGAAAUCUUAACAGAACCCUUCGGGGCGAAGAUAAGAUGGAUGAGCGGCGGACGGGUGAGUAACACGUGAGUAACCUGCCUUUUACACAGGGAUAGCCUCGGGAAACCGGGAUUAAAACCUGAUGAAACUAUCAAAUCACAUGAUUAAGAAAGUUAAAACUCCGGUGGUAAAAGAUGGACUCGCGUCCCAUUAGCUAGUUGGUGAAGGUAACGGCCCACCAAGGCAACGAUGGGUAGCCGGCCUGAGAGGGUGAACGGCCACAUUGGAACUGAGAAACGGUCCAAACUCCUACGGGAGGCAGCAGUGGGGAAUAUUGCACAAUGGGGGAAACCCUGAUGCAGCGACGCCGCGUGAGCGAAGAAGGCCUUCGGGUCGUAAAGCUCUUUUAUAUGGGAAGAUAAUGACGGUACCAUAAGAAAAAGCCCCGGCUAACUACGUGCCAGCAGCCGCGGUAAUACGUAGGGGGCUAGCGUUGUCCGGAAUCACUGGGCGUAAAGGGUUCGCAGGCGGCAAUGCAAGUCAGAUGUAAAAGGCAAAGGCUCAACCUUUGUAAGCAUCUGAAACUGUAUAGCUUGAGAAGUGUAGAGGCAAGUGGAAUUUUUAGUGUAGCGGUGAAAUGCGUAGAUAUUAAAAAGAAUACCGGUGGCGAAGGCGACUUGCUGGGCACAAUCUGACGCUGAGGAACGAAAGCGUGGGGAGCAACCAGG